GCGGCCACAAGUGCUAGUUCUCAAGGUAUUGAGGACAGCAUGAUACAAACACUGGGACGUUGGAAAUCAGAUUGUUUUAAACGUUACAUUAGAACUUCCAAAUUGGAUAUUAAAUCCGCGCUGGAAAAGAUUAAAUGACAAGAUACAAUGCAGAAAACGUUUUUUACCAUCGGUUAUAACUUUGUAAUUUGUCCUCCAUCCUAGCCUUGUGUCUUUUCUUCUCACGUUGAUCUCAAUAUUGUGGUUAAGGAUUUUUAUAUUGACAUUAAUUUUUUCUCUAGAUCAACUUUAAUUUUAACAAGACACAAGGCUUCAUCAGGCACAACAUCUUCAAUCUUUUGGGGUUACUCAAUAUGCAACUUGGGCAGGCAACAUAACGUUACAUAUUUCGUUUUGGGCUAUGAUAUUUUAUUUUGGCCAAAUAUAAUAUCGUUUCC
RNAcentral lists this long non-coding RNA (437 nucleotides) under Mytilus galloprovincialis (Mediterranean mussel). The record is from RNAcentral. Lineage: Eukaryota; Metazoa; Mollusca; Bivalvia; Mytilida; Mytilidae.